This 535-nucleotide ribosomal RNA is filed under the name Fusarium protoensiforme. RNAcentral's name for it is "partial large subunit ribosomal RNA". It matches the Rfam family "Eukaryotic large subunit ribosomal RNA", at positions 66 to 624 of the family's 3401-position model. Lineage: Eukaryota; Fungi; Ascomycota; Sordariomycetes; Hypocreales; Nectriaceae. The record is from RNAcentral.
CAACAGGGAUUGCCCUAGUAACGGCGAGUGAAGCGGCAACAGCUCAAAUUUGAAAUCUGGCUCUCGGGCCCGAGUUGUAAUUUGUAGAGGAUGCUUUUGGUGCGGUGCCUUCCGAGUUCCCUGGAACGGGACGCCAUAGAGGGUGAGAGCCCCGUCUGGUUGGACGCCAAUCCUCUGUAAAGCUCCUUCGACGAGUCGAGUAGUUUGGGAAUGCUGCUCUAAAUGGGAGGUAUAUGUCUUCUAAAGCUAAAUACCGGCCAGAGACCGAUAGCGCACAAGUAGAGUGAUCGAAAGAUGAAAAGAACUUUGAAAAGAGAGUUAAAAAGUACGUGAAAUUGUUGAAAGGGAAGCGCUUGUGACCAGACUUGGGCUUGGUUGAUCAUCCAGGGUUCUCCCUGGUGCACUCCUCCGGCCCAGGCCAGCAUCAGUUCGCCCCGGGGGACAAAGACGCCUGGAAUGUGGCUCUCUUCGGGGAGUGUUAUAGCCUGGCGUGCAAUACCCUGUGGCGGACUGAGGUUCGCGCAUUCGCAAGGAU